Wyeomyia smithii (pitcher-plant mosquito) is the source of this 465-nucleotide long non-coding RNA. RefSeq lists it as uncharacterized. NCBI's taxonomy places the organism in Eukaryota, Metazoa, Arthropoda, Insecta, Diptera, Culicidae. The record is from RefSeq and is a predicted model, not a curated record. The transcript is spliced from 3 exons.
UUUUUGACACUUUGGUUUGAACGUCACCCAACUGUAAAAUUUUAUUUGCAAAACAUUACCUAAAAGCCCCCGAUAAAGACACGAUUCCAAAACAGAAACAAUCCGACAUUUGUAAGCGCUGUUUCAAACGUAAUAGACCGCAUCUCUUUAUGAGCGAAGUUUUGCGCGGAGUGCGGGGCAAAGUUGAAAAACGAACGUUUGUAUGCCCAACCUCGGGGUCCCCCGGUUGGGUAUACGGAUGUUCAGCCCAGCCCCAGGCCACCGACCGUCUGGACACUUCGACGAGCAGCUCCAGCUGGUGCAUACGCAAUACGCAGCGACAGGUUGCGCAAACGCAGCUGGAGUUGCUGACGAAACUGAUGGAGGCUAAGGCCAAGCCUUCGCCGGAAGCAGAAAAGAAACCCCAAGAAGCAAAUUAAUUUAAUUAAUAAAUCUACUGUAUAAAAAUAAAAUUCCGUAACGCUU